Molecule: ribosomal RNA, 429 nt
Filed under: Gemmatimonadota bacterium
Lineage: Bacteria; Pseudomonadati; Gemmatimonadota
Description: Gemmatimonadetes bacterium partial 16S ribosomal RNA
Rfam family: Bacterial small subunit ribosomal RNA
Source: RNAcentral
UAGGGAAUCUUCGGCAAUGGACGAAAGUCUGACCGAGCAACGCCGCGUGAGUGAAGAAGGUUUUCGGAUCGUAAAACUCUGUUGUUAGAGAAGAACAAGGACGUUAGUAACUGAACGUCCCCUGACGGUAUCUAACCAGAAAGCCACGGCUAACUACGUGCCAGCAGCCGCGGUAAUACGUAGGUGGCAAGAGUUGUCCGGAUUUAUUGGGCGUAAAGCGAGCGCAGGCGGUUUCUUAAGUCUGAUGUGAAAGCCCCCGGCUCAACCGGGGAGGGUCAUUGGAAACUGGGAGUCUUGCGUGCAGAAGAGGAGAGUGGAAUUCCAUGUGUAGCGGUGAAAUGCGUAGAUAUAUGGAGGAACACCAGUGGCGAAGGCGGCUCUCUGGUCUGUAACUGACGCUGAGGCUCGAAAGCGUGGGGAGCAAACAGG